Molecule: small nuclear RNA, 80 nt
Filed under: Otolemur garnettii (small-eared galago)
Lineage: Eukaryota; Metazoa; Chordata; Mammalia; Primates; Galagidae
Description: U4 spliceosomal RNA
Rfam family: U4 spliceosomal RNA
About the family: U4 small nuclear RNA (U4 snRNA) is a component of the major U2-dependent spliceosome.
Source: Rfam by way of RNAcentral
AGCUUUGUGCAGUGGCAGCAUCUUAGCUAAUGAGGUUUAUCCGAGGUGUGAUUAUUGCUAAUUGAAACAUUCUUCCUGCA